AUUGAACGCUGGCGGCAUGCCUUACACAUGCAAGUCGAACGGCAGCGGGCCUUCGGGUGCCGGCGAGUGGCGAACGGGUGAGUAAUGCAUCGGAACGUGCCAUUGAGUGGGGGGAUAACGUAGCGAAAGUUGCGCUAAUACCGCAUAUUCUGUGAGCAGGAAAGCAGGGGACCGCAAGGCCUUGCGCUCUUUGAGCGGCCGAUGUCAGAUUAGCUAGUUGGUGAGGUAACGGCUUACCAAAGGCGACGAUCUGUAGCGGGUCUGAGAGGAUGAUCCGCCACACUGGAACUGAGACACGGUCCAGACUCCUACGGGAGGCAGCAGUGGGGAAUUUUGGACAAUGGGGCAACCUGAUCCAGCCAUGCCGCGUGAGUGAAGAAGGCCUGGUUGUAA
RNAcentral lists this ribosomal RNA (393 nucleotides) under uncultured bacterium. RNAcentral describes it as "bacterial SSU rRNA". It matches the Rfam family "Bacterial small subunit ribosomal RNA", at positions 30 to 428 of the family's 1533-position model. The record is from RNAcentral.